CAGCCUUAAUUUCAACGAGGAAAGAAAAAUAGCCGAGGUACCCAAGCCUGAUUUCGAGAGAAACGACACUAAAACAGAUGAACCAAAAUCCUCAAUCAACCGAAUGGAGGACCGAAUCUGGUAUAGUCUGAGCUCUGGUGAACUCAGACGGAGGCAGCAAACGACCAACCAAAAUAGAUUCCUGCGAACUCACUGUUUUCCGAACGACGGAAGAAAAAAAAUAUUGAGAAUUUCAAAUCGGACUUAUCAAACGGACCAACUGCAUCCACGAUGGCGCCGAUUCCGACGAGAUUUCACCGGAAAUCUGAAGGGGGACGACUGACUCUUUCAAAUCAUCUCCAUUUUUACUCAUUUUCUUGUUGUUUUCAUGUGUGGGUGCGUGAAUUUGGAGUGGUGAGUUGUGGUUGUUGAGAACAAGAUCCAAGAAAAUGGCUUCGAUGUGUAUAUGAAUAUAUUUCUUUAGACCCCCCUGUGAAUGAAUAUCAGUGGGUUUAUAUAUUGUUGUUGUAUAUGAAUUGUGAAUCUCUUUUUUCUGUUCC
RNAcentral lists this long non-coding RNA (539 nucleotides) under Capsicum annuum. RNAcentral's name for it is "long non-coding RNA (CANN_LNC021382)". The record is from RNAcentral. Lineage: Eukaryota; Viridiplantae; Streptophyta; Magnoliopsida; Solanales; Solanaceae.